This 1642-nucleotide long non-coding RNA is filed under the name Homo sapiens (human). Its description in RNAcentral is "PREDICTED lncRNA (TCONS_00046313)". The record is from RNAcentral. Lineage: Eukaryota; Metazoa; Chordata; Mammalia; Primates; Hominidae.
GGGAAGGGGAAGGUGCCUUUCCGCAUUUGGUGUAGUCCCGCAUUCUGCCAUAUGAUGGCGCCAGAGAACGCGCCUACCGGGAUAGGGAGGGGCAAGGAGGCGAGGAAGGAAAAAAAAGAGACAAGUGAAGAUUGACAUCCAUUAAGGCCAAUGGUAGCUCAAUCUUCUGUUCUCUGACUCCCAAGCUUCCCAUUCUCUUAGGAGGCUGCAUUUGUGGCGCUAAAAAAAGGGAUGGGCGUGGGAGAUUCCAGGACUUGUGCUCGCUGAAGAUACAACUGUUAGUCCAAGGGGUGACCCUGGAGAUCAUUACCAAAAUUUAAAAAUUUCACCACUGGGCACACAUGUUACCCUUCUCGUGAUGGCAUGGCAAAGCUUGAUUUGCAAGAGUUUCUUUUGGAUUGUCCCCAAUGAUUCCCUUUAAAAAUAGGAGCUCCUUCAAGCUCCUGUAUCAGCAGUGCUUGCACCUCAUAGGUGAUGAUCAUGAGGGGGACAAGGAGCCUCUAGACUUAAGAGACAAGUUGCCAGCAUUCUCCAGAUGGAGUGUUUCCCUCCGCAGCACCCCCUGCUGGUCAGUUUGACAAGCAGGUGAACAGAAGUUCUCAAAUACACAAUAGUAGAUUCUAUCAAUCAAGUUUCAUAAAGAGUUCUGAUUCCCAGAGAUAGCAGAUUCUGUCAACCACAUUUCAUAAAGAGUUCUGAUUCUAAGAGAGCCAUACACCUGAAGGAGGGAUGGAAAGACUAGGAGAGCCUGGGAUCCUCAGAGAUGGAGAUCUGGAUGUGAAGAGAAAGAGAAAAACAAAAGUCAACAGACAGUACUGUGACCAAGUCAGUGAUGGUGAGAUCAGCAGCAUCUCUAGGACCCUUCUGAUUGACAUGAAGUCACCAUCAAGUAGGCAGAACUCACAGGACUUAUGGAGCAAGGAUGACUGACACAAACACAAAAAUCAUUCUGCCUGUUGAAUGAAUCAUAAAAUACUGUCUUUGAUCCAGGAGGCUUGUGUCAUCUGCCAGCAUUUAUGAAACUGUGCUCCAAGUAGGCUCCUGUAUCAGCAGUGCUUGCCCCUGAUAGAUGAUGAUCAUGGGGGGACCAGGAGCCUCUAGACUUAGAGAACUUUCCCCACCCUCCCUGUGGAGUGUUUCCCUCCCCAGCACCCCCUGCUGGUCAGUUUGACAAACAGAUGAACAGAAGUUCUCAAAUACACAGUAAGCAGAUAACCCCAACAUCACCAGAAAUAUCAACUUGUGAUGGCAUUUUGUCAAGUUGUCUUUGUUAUCGGCAUCAUCUGUUGCUUUCUGAGGGAAGUAUUUUGAGUUCUCCUACUGAGACUGUGGAUUUGCCUAUUUCUUUUUGUAUGUCAGCUUUUGCCAUAUGUAUUUUGUAGUUGUGUUGUGAGGAAGAUUCAUGACUUAUCUUGUGGGAGAAUUCUGUAUUUAGCAGAUUUUCGUCUUAAGUUCUGUUUUGCUUAGUAUUGAUGUUAUUACUUUGCUUUUUCAGUUUCAAAAUCAUUUAGUAUAUCUUUUUCCUUUCUUUUAGCCUUUGUGUUUUUAUUUCAGAUGUGCUUUCUUAUGUACUGACUGUGAUCCCCAAAUUCAUAUGUUGAAGUCCCAACUCCAAAUGUAUUUGGAGGUGGGCCUUUCAGAC